Molecule: ribosomal RNA, 529 nt
Filed under: uncultured bacterium
Lineage: Bacteria
Description: bacterial SSU rRNA
Rfam family: Bacterial small subunit ribosomal RNA
Source: RNAcentral
AAUAGAUACCCCGGUAGUCCACGCCGUAAACGAUGAGUGCUAAGUGUUAGAGGGUUUCCGCCCUUUAGUGCUGCAGCUAACGCAUUAAGCACUCCGCCUGGGGAGUACGGUCGCAAGACUGAAACUCAAAGGAAUUGACGGGGGCCCGCACAAGCGGUGGAGCAUGUGGUUUAAUUCGAAGCAACGCGAAGAACCUUACCAGGUCUUGACAUCCCACUGACCGGUAUAGAGAUAUACCUUUCCCUUCGGGGACAGUGGUGACAGGUGGUGCAUGGUUGUCGUCAGCUCGUGUCGUGAGAUGUUGGGUUAAGUCCCGCAACGAGCGCAACCCUUGAUCUUAGUUGCCAGCAUUUAGUUGGGCACUCUAAGGUGACUGCCGGUGACAAACCGGAGGAAGGUGGGGAUGACGUCAAAUCAUCAUGCCCCUUAUGACCUGGGCUACACACGUGCUACAAUGGAUGGUACAAAGGACUGCAAGACUGCGAAGUCAAGCCAAUCCCAUAAAACCAUUCUCAGUUCGGAUUGCAGG